Molecule: long non-coding RNA, 320 nt
Filed under: Fukomys damarensis (Damara mole-rat)
Lineage: Eukaryota; Metazoa; Chordata; Mammalia; Rodentia; Bathyergidae
Description: lncRNA (ENSFDAG00000023209.1)
Source: RNAcentral
AAAUCAUUCUAAGCUGUAUCUAGAAAAUUUCAUGCUAAGUAUAGUUGAAAAAAAUUUGAAUAGCACUACAAAAAGGACAAACCUCAAAAGGUGUGAACACAAUUUUCCAUAGGGAACACAAACUAUAGGGAAAAGCACAAACUAUGGCGCAGUUUCCGAAGAAAUUCCAAGCUCACAGCCAAGAUGCCACCACCACUCCCUUGGACUUCCUGGCCUUCAGAACUGUGACCCGAAUGUGCUGCUGUUUCUUGUGAAUUGCCCAGGUAUUCUGUCACUGAAGCACAAACCUGACCGAGAUUACUGCUUUGCUUUCUCUAUGG